This 301-nucleotide ribosomal RNA is filed under the name uncultured bacterium. RNAcentral's name for it is "partial 16S ribosomal RNA". It matches the Rfam family "Bacterial small subunit ribosomal RNA", at positions 509 to 808 of the family's 1533-position model. The record is from RNAcentral.
CAGUAGCCACGGUAAUACGUAGGUCCCGAGCGUUGUCCGGAUUUAUUGGGCGUAAAGCGAGCGCAGGCGGUUAGAUAAGUCUGAAGUUAAAGGCCGUGGCUUAACCAUAGUACGCUUUGGGAACUGUUUAACUUGAGUGCAAGAGGGGAGAGUGGAAUUCCAUGUGUAGCGGUGAAAUGCGUAGAUAUAUGGAGGAACACCGGUGGCGAAAGCGGCUCUCUGGCCUGUAACUGACGCUGAGGCUCGAAAGCGUGGGGAGCAAACAGGAUUAGAUACCCCUGUAGUCCCUGUCUCUUAUACA